This 497-nucleotide ribosomal RNA is filed under the name uncultured bacterium. RNAcentral describes it as "partial 16S ribosomal RNA". It matches the Rfam family "Bacterial small subunit ribosomal RNA", at positions 28 to 507 of the family's 1533-position model. The record is from RNAcentral.
GAUGAACGCUGGCGGCGUGCCUAAUACAUGCAAGUCGAGCGAACGGACGAGAAGCUUGCUUCUCUGAUGUUAGCGGCGGACGGGUGAGUAACACGUGGAUAACCUACCUAUAAGACUGGGAUAACUUCGGGAAACCGGAGCUAAUACCGGAUAAUAUUUUGAACCGCAUGGUUCAAAAGUGAAAGACGGUCUUGCUGUCACUUAUAGAUGGAUCCGCGCUGCAUUAGCUAGUUGGUAAGGUAACGGCUUACCAAGGCAACGAUGCAUAGCCGACCUGAGAGGGUGAUCGGCCACACUGGAACUGAGACACGGUCCAGACUCCUACGGGAGGCAGCAGUAGGGAAUCUUCCGCAAUGGGCGAAAGCCUGACGGAGCAACGCCGCGUGAGUGAUGAAGGUCUUCGGAUCGUAAAACUCUGUUAUUAGGGAAGAACAUAUGUGUAAGUAACUGUGCACAUCUUGACGGUACCUAAUCAGAAACCCACGGCUAGCUACGUG